This is a long non-coding RNA of Pseudophryne corroboree (corroboree frog), 452 nucleotides long. RefSeq lists it as uncharacterized. The record is from RefSeq and is a predicted model, not a curated record. The transcript is spliced from 3 exons. Lineage: Eukaryota; Metazoa; Chordata; Amphibia; Anura; Myobatrachidae.
GCUAAAUUGGAAGUUCUUCACUCAGGAAUUUGCCUUUCUGUGUGAAAGGGGUAAAAGACUUUAAGGGCCUGUAUAAUGGUUGUAUGGUGGCCAGAUAGAGAAAGAAGAAAAGUGGGAAGGACGAGCAGCAUCACCCCUAGCGUGGGCACCACAUCUGGCCAUAAUACCUGGUAAUACAGUGGACAUUAGGUUCUUUGAGGACACAUUGGAUUGUUCUUAAGUCCAAAAAUGGAGGUGGAAGCCAGUCUUUAAAAAACACCCAGAGAUGACACCGCUGUAGUAACGAGGUGCACACACAUCUGGCAGCCAUUUUCCCUGGAGCUGGGAAACACCACCACAGACUGCAGCCAUUGACAACCAGAUUGCUGACACUGCUGUUUCCUGACGCCUGUGCUACAGGGGAUAUCCUGGUGAAUCCCUGCUGCGGAGAGAUCUGAAGGCGGCCACCAUGA